RNAcentral lists this ribosomal RNA (474 nucleotides) under uncultured Desulfobulbus sp. RNAcentral describes it as "bacterial SSU rRNA". It matches the Rfam family "Bacterial small subunit ribosomal RNA", at positions 916 to 1381 of the family's 1533-position model. The record is from RNAcentral. Lineage: Bacteria; Pseudomonadati; Thermodesulfobacteriota; Desulfobulbia; Desulfobulbales; Desulfobulbaceae.
GACGGGGCCCGCACAAGCGGUGGAGUAUGUGGUUAAUUCGAUGCAACGCGAAGAACCUUACCUGGUCUUGACAUCCCGGAGACCCUUAGGAAACUAGGGGGUGCUUCCAUCUGGAAGAAUCUGGAGACAGGUGCUGCAUGGCUGUCGUCAGCUCGUGUCGUGAGAUGUUGGGUUAAGUCCCGCAACGAGCGCAACCCUUGCCUUUAGUUGCCAGCAGUUCGGCUGGGCACUCUAAAGGGACUGCCGGUGUUAAACCGGAGGAAAGUGGGGAUGACGUCAAGUCCUCAUGGCCUUUAUGACCAGGGCUACACACGUACUACAAUGGCCGAUACAAAGGGCAGCGACACUGCGAGGUGAAGCCAAUCCCGUAAAAUCGGUCUCAGUCCGGAUUGGAGUCUGCAACUCGACUCCAUGAAGUUGGAAUUGCUAGUAAUCGUGGAUCAGCAUGCCACGGUGAAUACGUUCCCGGGCCUU